CGCGCUGCCCACUGCCCACACCAGCAAUGAGGCAGCCCGCAUUUCCCCAUCUCUUCCUCGGCUGGUGCCAACCACCCUGGAACGUCCUGGAACUUGUUGUCUCUCUAUUUUCAGGAAGGCAAGACCCUUCCCCAUGCACACGAAUGCGGGACUGGGGAUGACCGGCCAGGGAUUUGGUAGGGACACAGGACCAGGGCACCCUAAAGGGCUCUGGCCUGGCAGACAGGUGAGUCUGAGAAGGGGCCCUUACUGAACCCUUCCUGCUAAGUUUAGGAGCACACACGUUUCUGUGCCCUCGGUUCAAGUCUCUAGAUUCCUCUGGGCCAUGAAUCCAUUGUCCAUAUUUACCUGAAAUAAGACUUUUUCUACUAGGAAAUCAUAACUACCUACCUACGCACUAAAGCAAAUUCCACUGAAGUAAAUACACUUGUCCUCAUUACUGAGAUUCAUUCUAACGUUUCCCGAGGUUAAGAAUCCCAAGCUCCAGAGCUAGGGCUGGACGUGAGAGUUGAAAAGCAACACAGGUUCCAGGGUUAAGCCGGGCAGCCCGACAGGGAGAAGGUGACAACCGUCCUCUCUGUCACUCUUGCAACAGUUAGGGGCACCUGGCCUUGGAUCUCAGCUCAGCCACCCACUUACCCCUCGUGACUUCUCACAGAGCCUUAAUGUCCCCACAGACAGGCCAGGAAGACGACUAGCUGUGCCGGCCGCUUAGCGGGUAAGGAAUAAGCUACGUUACUGUUGCUGAUAAAGCAUCUCUGGGUCCUGACCUCCUUUCCCUUCCUCCGAUCGCGAUCGCGGAAAGGAGAAGCGGGCUCCUCCGGGCCGCGCUGCCUGGAAACUGCCACAAACAGCUCAGGCAAGACGGGAGAACCGGAAGAAAAACACUCAGAUCCCGGCGCAUACUGAUUCCAGCGGCCACACCCGGACCUCGCCGGCCAGGCCCAGCGCCCGGGACGCGGAGCGGGGCGGGGGGGGGGGGGGAGCCCGGGGCUGCCGGGGGCGGGGCGCACGGCGGCGGCGGAGGCGUCCGGGGCGCAGGGCAGGGGCGCGGCGCAGGGAGCAGUCCGCACACACGGGCGGGGGCUGCGGUGAUCACUCGCCACCGGGCGCUCGGGGCCGAUGGAGCCCCGGCUGGCCUGUUCCGCGCGGCCCCGUCUUACCGGCUCAGCGCUGGUUCGGGCUCCGGGCGGCGCGAGGUGUGGGAAGAAGCGCUAGGGCCCGAGGCCCUUAUAGCUGUGGAAGGGGAGUGUCGCCCAGGCAGGAGGCGGGCGGGCGGGCAGGGCCUUGGCCCUUCCCCCAGAGGACUUCCUGGGAGUCCGGGCUUGGAGGCUUGGCGUUGUAGAAGCCGAGGUGAAGGUGGGCUCCGCGCGGCGUCCUCCUCUCCGCCCCUUCGUACCAAAGUGGACUGCGUUCCGAUCACCUCGCAGGUGAUGACCACAGCAGCUGAACCAACUUCCGCACCACACACGGUGAUAACUCGCAUCUGUGCGAAUGAAGGAUUGCUUACACACCAGACCAAAACGCUCAAUCCGCGUGAAGCUGAUUGGCAUGUCAUCCAGCAUGUGCACUCCCCUGUGUCAGCAGCCUGUGCCCAAGGGACCCGGAUGAACUGGUGAGCGCCCUGCCCUUCCAGCUCUCCCACGUCCGGCAACACACAACUCCGAAGCCAGGCCGGUGACCAUCCUUCGUAAUGAAGCUGGUAUGUUUAAUCCCCAAGCAAAACCUCCUUGACAGCGCUCUUCCCACGAACCUGCCUUAGCCGCAGUACUCUGCGUCAUCGACAGCAUCAAGUCCUCUUUCAAAUAACCUGAGAG
Ursus thibetanus thibetanus is the source of this 1817-nucleotide long non-coding RNA. The record is from Ensembl. Lineage: Eukaryota; Metazoa; Chordata; Mammalia; Carnivora; Ursidae.